This 198-nucleotide microRNA precursor is filed under the name Oryza rufipogon (brownbeard rice). RNAcentral's name for it is "MIR812 microRNA precursor family". It matches the Rfam family "MIR812 microRNA precursor family". The record is from Rfam by way of RNAcentral. Lineage: Eukaryota; Viridiplantae; Streptophyta; Magnoliopsida; Poales; Poaceae.
UUUAAGUACAAUUAUGAGUUUUCAUGCUCAAUUUUAAUAUUUCGUCUAAUUUGGAAAAAAAUAUGAUAAUUAUUUUUUUUAUGAGAUAAUAAAACAUGAAUAAUAUUUUAUUCAUAACUUAUGUUUUUAAUUUUUUAAAAAAAAUUAAAUAAGAAGAAUGAUUAAAGUUGAGUGUGGAAAAUUAUGGCUGCACUUCAA